Caenorhabditis elegans is the source of this 149-nucleotide non-coding RNA. The record is from Ensembl. NCBI's taxonomy places the organism in Eukaryota, Metazoa, Nematoda, Chromadorea, Rhabditida, Rhabditidae.
AAGAAAAAGAAAAAGGGGAUAGAAAAACGAGAGGAAAGCGGAAGGGAACCACUUUUUGGUGAGUGGUCCCUAGAAAAGAAAGGAGGAAAGAAAAGGGAGGGUCAAUACAAAAAGAAGUUUGUGCUCGGCAAGGAGAAGAUGAGGAAAAU